UCGAACGAUGAUCCCAGCUUGCUGGGGGAUUAGUGGCGAACGGGUGAGUAACACGUGAGUAACCUGCCCUUAACUCUGGGAUAAGCCUGGGAAACUGGGUCUAAUACCGGAUAUGACUCCUCAUCGCAUGGUGGGGGGUGGAAAGCUUUAUUGUGGUUUUGGAUGGACUCGCGGCCUAUCAGCUUGUUGGUGAGGUAAUGGCUCACCAAGGCGACGACGGGUAGCCGGCCUGAGAGGGUGACCGGCCACACUGGGACUGAGACACGGCCCAGACUCCUACGGGAGGCAGCAGUGGGGAAUAUUGCACAAUGGGCGAAAGCCUGAUGCAGCGACGCCGCGUGAGGGAUGACGGCCUUCGGGUUGUAAACCUCUUUCAGUAGGGAAGAAGCGAAAGUGACGGUACCUGCAGAAGAAGCGCCGGCUAACUACGUGCCAGCAGCCGCGGUAAUACGUAGGGCGCAAGCGUUAUCCGGAAUUAUUGGGCGUAAAGAGCUCGUAGGCGGUUUGUCGCGUCUGCCGUGAAAGUCCGGGGCUCAACUCCGGAUCUGCGGUGGGUACGGGCAGACUAGAGUGAUGUAGGGGAGACUGGAAUUCCUGGUGUAGCGGUGAAAUGCGCAGAUAUCAGGAGGAACACCGAUGGCGAAGGCAGGUCUCUGGGCAUUAACUGACGCUGAGGAGCGAAAGCAUGGGGAGCGAACAGGAUUAGAUACCCUGGUAGUCCAUGCCGUAAACGUUGGGCACUAGGUGUGGGGGACAUUCCACGUUUUCCGCGCCGUAGCUAACGCAUUAAGUGCCCCGCCUGGGGAGUACGGCCGCAA
RNAcentral lists this ribosomal RNA (818 nucleotides) under Arthrobacter oryzae. RNAcentral describes it as "bacterial SSU rRNA". It matches the Rfam family "Bacterial small subunit ribosomal RNA", at positions 62 to 891 of the family's 1533-position model. The record is from RNAcentral. Lineage: Bacteria; Bacillati; Actinomycetota; Actinomycetes; Micrococcales; Micrococcaceae.